AUUUCAUGAUAUGGACAUCUUCUCAGUAGUUCUUUAAACCUCUCCCAAGCUUCAUACAAGGAUUCAUCAUUAAAUUGUGUAUAUGAGGUGAUAUCAUUCCUCAUGUU
This 107-nucleotide small nucleolar RNA is filed under the name Theobroma cacao (cacao). Its description in RNAcentral is "Plant small nucleolar RNA R71". It matches the Rfam family "Plant small nucleolar RNA R71". Rfam says of the family: R71 is a member of the C/D box family of snoRNAs containing the C (UGAUGA) and D (CUGA) box motifs. Multiple nearly identical copies of this snoRNA have been identified in Arabidopsis, and it is thought to function as a 2'-O-ribose methylation guide for 18S ribosomal RNA. The record is from Rfam by way of RNAcentral. Lineage: Eukaryota; Viridiplantae; Streptophyta; Magnoliopsida; Malvales; Malvaceae.